CCUACGGGGGGCUGCAGUGGGGAAUAUUGCGCAAUGGGGGAAACCCUGACGCAGCAACGCCGCGUGAAGGAUGAAGGCUUUCGGGUUGUAAACUUCUUUGAUCAGGGACGAAGAGAUGACGGUACCUGAAGAACAAGCCACGGCUAACUACGUGCCAGCAGCCGCGGUAAUACGUAGGUGGCAAGCGUUAUCCGGAAUUACUGGGUGUAAAGGGCGUGUAGGCGGCUUUUUAAGUUGGAUGUGAAAUUCCGGGGCUCAACCCCGGCGCUGCAUCC
RNAcentral lists this ribosomal RNA (275 nucleotides) under uncultured bacterium. RNAcentral describes it as "partial 16S ribosomal RNA". It matches the Rfam family "Bacterial small subunit ribosomal RNA", at positions 338 to 628 of the family's 1533-position model. The record is from RNAcentral.